UGAGGAAUAUUGGGCAAUGCCCGCAAGGGUGACCCAGCAACGCCGCGUGGAGGAUGAAUGUCGUAAGAUUGUAAACUCCUGUUAGAGGGGAAGAAUAGUACCGGUUGGACCGGUAUAUGACUGUACCCUCAGAGAAAGCCCCGGCUAACUACGUGCCAGCAGCCGCGGUAGUACGUAGGGGGCAAGCGUUGUCCGGAUUUACUGGGUGUAAAGGGCGCGCAGGCGGGAUAAAAAGUCAGUGGUGAAAUCCUACAGCUUAACUGUAGAACUGCCUUUGAUACUUUUAUUCUUGAGUUCGGGAGAGAGAGACGGAAUUACAGGUGUAGUGGUGAAAUACGUAGAUAUCUGGAAGAACACCAGUUGCGAAGGCGGUCUCUUGGUCCGACACUGACGCUGAGGCGCGAAAGCGUGGGGAGCAAACA
RNAcentral lists this ribosomal RNA (422 nucleotides) under uncultured bacterium. Its description in RNAcentral is "bacterial SSU rRNA". It matches the Rfam family "Bacterial small subunit ribosomal RNA", at positions 355 to 774 of the family's 1533-position model. The record is from RNAcentral.